GAACGCUAGCUACAGGCUUAACACAUGCAAGGUCGGAGGGGCAGCGAGAAGAAGCUUGUCUUUCUUUGUCGGCGACCGGCGCGACGGGUGAGUAACGCGUAUCCCUAACCCUUCCCCUUAGGUAGGGCAUACGCCCGGCGAAAGUCGGAUUAAUACCCUAUGUUAUCCGAAGAGGACACCUGAAUUGGAUUAAAGAUUUAUCGCUAAGGGAUGGGGAUGCGUCUGAUUAGGUAGUAGGCGGGGUAACGGCCCACCUAGCCUACGAUCAGUAGGGGUUCUGAGAGGAAGGUCCCCCACAUUGGAACUGAGACACGGUCCAAACUCCUACGGGAGGCAGCAGUGAGGAAUAUUGGUCAAUGGACGAGAGUCUGAACCAGCCAAGUAGCGUGCAGGAUGACGGCCCUAUGGGUUGUAAACUGCUUUUAUACGGGGAUAAAGUGAGGGACGUGUCCCUUUUUGUAGGUACCGUAUGAAUAAGGACCGGCUAAUUCCGUGCCAGCAGCAGC
This 506-nucleotide ribosomal RNA is filed under the name uncultured bacterium. RNAcentral's name for it is "bacterial SSU rRNA". It matches the Rfam family "Bacterial small subunit ribosomal RNA", at positions 31 to 518 of the family's 1533-position model. The record is from RNAcentral.